RNAcentral lists this ribosomal RNA (515 nucleotides) under uncultured bacterium. Its description in RNAcentral is "partial 16S ribosomal RNA". It matches the Rfam family "Bacterial small subunit ribosomal RNA", at positions 28 to 523 of the family's 1533-position model. The record is from RNAcentral.
GAUGAACGCUGGCGGCGUGCCUAAUACAUGCAAGUCGAGCGAAUGGAUUAAGAGCUUGCUCUUAUGAAGUUAGCGGCGGACGGGUGAGUAACACGUGGGUAACCUGCCCAUAAGACUGGGAUAACUCCGGGAAACCGGGGCUAAUACCGGAUAACAUUUUGAACCGCAUGGUUCGAAAUUGAAAGGCGGCUUCGGCCGUCACUUAUGGAUGGACCCGCGUCGCAUUAGCUAGUUGGUGAGGUAACGGCUCACCAAGGCAACGAUGCGGAGCCGACCUGGGAGGGUGAUCGGCCCCACUGGGACUGAGACACGGCCCAGACUCCUACGGGAGGCAGCAGUAGGGAAUCUUCCGCAAUGGACGAAAGUCUGACGGAGCAACGCCGCGUGAGUGAUGAAGGCUUUCGGGUCGUAAAACUCUGUUGUUAGGGAAGAACAAGUGCUAGUUGAAUAAGCUGGCACCUUGACGGUACCUAACCAGAAAGCCACGGCUAACUACGUGCCAGCAGCCGCGGUAA